This 459-nucleotide ribosomal RNA is filed under the name uncultured bacterium. Its description in RNAcentral is "bacterial SSU rRNA". It matches the Rfam family "Bacterial small subunit ribosomal RNA", at positions 64 to 571 of the family's 1533-position model. The record is from RNAcentral.
GAACGCCCCGCAAGGGGAGUGGCAGACGGGUGAGUAACGCGUGGGAACAUACCCUUCGGUUCGGAAUAGCUCAGGGAAACUUGAAUUAAUACCGGAUACGUCCGCAAGGAGAAAGAUUUAUCGCCGAAGGAUUGGCCCGCGUCUGAUUAGCUAGUUGGUGGGGUAACGGCCCACCAAGGCGACGAUCAGUAGCUGGUCUGAGAGGAUGAUCAGCCACAUUGGGACUGAGACACGGCCCAAACUCCUACGGGAGGCAGCAGUGGGGAAUAUUGGACAAUGGGCGCAAGCCUGAUCCAGCCAUGCCGCGUGAGUGAUGAAGGCCCUAGGGUUGUAAAGCUCUUUCGCACGCGAGGAUGAUGACGCUAGCGUGAGAAGAAGCCCCGGCUAACUUCGUGCCAGCAGCCGCGGUAAUACGAAGGGGGCGAGCGUUGUUCGGAUUUACUGGGCGUAAAGGGCGCG